This 65-nucleotide transfer RNA is filed under the name Tuxedo sp. ph57. RNAcentral's name for it is "tRNA-Pro". Lineage: Eukaryota; Metazoa; Arthropoda; Insecta; Hemiptera; Miridae. The record is from RNAcentral.
CAGUGGUUAGUUUAAUUAAAAUAUUAAUUUUGGAGAUUAAGGAUGAGUUUACUUCUUACCGCUGA